RNAcentral lists this transfer RNA (76 nucleotides) under Clostridium ljungdahlii. RNAcentral describes it as "tRNA-Thr". It matches the Rfam family "tRNA". Rfam says of the family: Transfer RNA (tRNA) molecules are approximately 80 nucleotides in length. Lineage: Bacteria; Bacillati; Bacillota; Clostridia; Eubacteriales; Clostridiaceae. RNAcentral also lists the same sequence under 7 other names. The record is from RNAcentral.
GCUGGCAUGGCUCAGCAGGUAGAGCAACUGACUUGUAAUCAGUAGGUCGUGGGUUCGAUUCCUACUGCCAGCACCA